Molecule: long non-coding RNA, 1257 nt
Filed under: Equus asinus (donkey)
Lineage: Eukaryota; Metazoa; Chordata; Mammalia; Perissodactyla; Equidae
Description: lncRNA (ENSEASG00005025076.1)
Source: RNAcentral
CACCUCCUUCUGUGGUUCACCUUUUUCUUUAUAAGCAGCUCAAGGAACUUUAAAGAUGAACUAGAGACCUAAAGAAAGUGCCCCCUGGGGCUCUCUGAGCAGUGGGACCAUCUCUCUUUUUCCUAGGAGGAAAAUCAAGGAGAGAGGAGAGUUAAGUUUCAGUCAUGGGAUGAAUGAGCCACGGUGCAGGUGGGUUGGGUGGAGAGGUCAAGGCAGAGAAAGCUGUUAGAGCUUGGUCUGUGUGUGUGUGUGUGUCUUAGGGUUUUCAUGCUUUCUGUGUGUUUGUUUCCGUUGUAAACUCCAGACAGAUGUCUCUAGUUUGGCCACAACUGAUUAGCUGGAUGUUGUAAAGAUGCUGCCAAAGCUGUGCCUUCUGCAAAUUAUUUUUUCCCUUUGCCCCUGUGGGCCCCUUUUCCUGCACUGCAGAAAUGGAUUGCACUCCUGGCCUUCCGUGGUGUCCUGAGGCCACUUUGCUUUGUUUUCAUCAUAAAUAUGGUCUAAGCAACUAGAUCCAGAGAUCCUAAGGAGUCUAGAAUUCACUGGAACCCUAGAGGAAGGGAGGGUGAAAGAUUUUCUUCCUCAAGAACAGGACUGGUUCAGGCAGAAGACUAUCUUUAGAAAAGAAAAGGGUGCAUGGGAAAUAAUUAAAAAUAUUCACAGUCACCUAAGGGCACUGGAGAAAGUCCGGGCCUUGUGUCUGUCAUAUUUUGGUUUGGUUGAGAGUCCCUCUCCCUGGCCCCGAAUGCCUCAGAUACACAUCAUGGAGUGACAUUUUAAAAUCCCAGGUAGAGAGAGUUGGGAAGGUCAAAUCCUACCACACCCAGACACCCACAUGGCAUGCCUUCCACACGGCUCUCACCUGACGGGCAGACAGCUGUGAGGGCCAUCACUAGCUUGCAUGACUGGGUUUCACAUUUCAAAUAAUUUCCACACGUUCCCAAGAUUCUCUGCUGUUUGAAACUGAUGGGGACGUUAAACAGGGUGACGAUCAAAUGGCUAAUACUUGGGGGUGAGGCAGGGUCUGCAUGUCUUCAUUCUUAUCCAAUCUGUGUGUCCAGUGGGAAUGCCAAGGUUGGCUUCCAUCUGGGACUGAUGGGGCCAUGGUGAUUGGUCAGAAAGCUCAGAGGAAUGCCAUUUAAACCAACACCAUCAAUAAGUAUAAGGCAACUAUCUCUUUAAGUCUGAUUUUUCCUGUUACCUGAUUUAGAAAUAGGGAAGGGGGGCCUUAGGGAAGGAAGGAGGAAGAAGAAAAUAAGC